GAUGAACGCUGGCGGCGUGCCUAAUACAUGCAAGUCGAGCGAACGGACGAGAAGCUUGCUUCUCUGAUGUUAGCGGCGGACGGGUGAGUAACACGUGGAUAACCUACCUAUAAGACUGGGAUAACUUCGGGAAACCGGAGCUAAUACCGGAUAAUAUUUUGAACCGCAUGGUUCAACAGUGAAAGACGGUCUUGCUGUCACUUAUAGAUGGAUCCGCGCCGCAUUAGCUAGUUGGUAAGGUAACGGCUUACCAAGGCAACGAUGCAUAGCCGACCUGAGAGGGUGAUCGGCCACACUGGAACUGAGACACGGUCCAGACUCCGACGGGAGGCAGCAGUAGGGAAUCUUCCGCAAUGGGCGAAAGACUGACGGAGCAACGCCGCGUGAGUGAUGAAGGUCUUCGGAUCGUAAAACUCUGUUAUUAGGGAAGAACAAAUGUGUAAGUAACUGUGCACAUCUUGACGGUACCUAAUCAGAAAGCCACGGCUAACUACGUG
RNAcentral lists this ribosomal RNA (497 nucleotides) under uncultured bacterium. RNAcentral describes it as "partial 16S ribosomal RNA". It matches the Rfam family "Bacterial small subunit ribosomal RNA", at positions 28 to 507 of the family's 1533-position model. The record is from RNAcentral.